GCUGCUGCCGGUGCUGCGGGCGGAGGCGGCUCCGCCCGUGUUGGGCGCUGCGAGCAGGGAGCGCUGCGGUAUCGCCGGCAUGACGGGGCUGCUGCCUGCGUUAGUGCUCGUGGCUCUUUGUGCCGUGACAGCGGAUGGAGCGGCGCUGGGCGGUAAAGCCAGAGAUGGCCGGGAGAAUGCCCAGCGCAGGGAGCGGCCGGGCUGUGUGCUUCGGAUGGCACAGCACCCGUGACUUUUUUUUUCCUCUAAAUCGGGAGUAAAUAUAGCUGAGUUCAGUAAUGUAUUUGCUGCAGCUCUGCUUACCCAAGCUUUGGGUUCCUUCUGUCCCACUGGGAGUUGCCCAAUUUGGUUGCAUCUGGUGAAAUUCACCCUGAGACCUUGCAGAACCAGCUCCAACUACGUGCGAGCCAUUUGCAGUUCUCUCCAGACGCCUGGAGAAUGGGCGACGUUUCUGAGGAUCCGGCGAGCGUGCUUCUGUCAAAACUCAGUCUGUGAAAUUCCUGGGGAAAACCCUUCUGUGUUCUGAAGGGUUCAAACUCUGGCGAGGAUCCAGUUAUCAGGUGCUCACCUGGAUGGUUCCAGCUGCCAAAGGGAAAGACUCUCGUAUCCUUGUCGUCGGGCUCGGUGCUGUCCAAAAAGAUACAGAGACUAAAAAAAUCAUAAGAAGCAAAAUAUGACUGCAGGGAAAAGAAGCUGGAGAGAACAGAAGACUCAUCACGGCGGGACAGUGUGAAGACUGAAAGUGUAAGAAGAUGUGGAGGGAAAGAGAGAAUCUGACAGGAGCAUCGGACGCACGAGUGCACGAAUUUUGCUUUUUUGCUUGGAUGUAAACUCAGGCGUUGAAAGGAAUUUGGGAGUGAGAAGGGACAUUUCAGAAGGAGAAGAAGCAAAAGAAGUUGUUGUUGUUGUUACAGUCCUGGCAAAAUCUUUUGUUCUAGCUAAUAAAAGAAGUUAGUUUAAAAAACAAAAAGGAAAAAAUGUAGUGU
This is a long non-coding RNA of Melospiza melodia melodia, 986 nucleotides long. RefSeq lists it as uncharacterized. The transcript is spliced from 5 exons. Lineage: Eukaryota; Metazoa; Chordata; Aves; Passeriformes; Passerellidae. The record is from RefSeq and is a predicted model, not a curated record.